Vidua macroura (Pin-tailed whydah) is the source of this 997-nucleotide long non-coding RNA. RefSeq lists it as uncharacterized. Lineage: Eukaryota; Metazoa; Chordata; Aves; Passeriformes; Viduidae. The record is from RefSeq and is a predicted model, not a curated record. The transcript is spliced from 6 exons.
GUAAGAUGGCCUUGGAAAUGUUCACAGACUCCACAGAGUGGGUGCAGUUGGAGCACUCAGAGGAGUUUCCAGGGAGGAGAGCCAUGGCUGUGUUAGUCCAGCUGAGCUGCCCAUUUUGAAAAUCUAUGAAGAAAAGCAACUCCAAACCAAGCAGAAGACGUUGCAAGGAGGAAGCCUCCUAGUGAGUGACACAACAUUUCAGAGUAUCUGGAAGCCAAGCUCAGCCUUUGCUGACUAAAUAUGGAGAAAAGAUGGAACAAGUUGAGGAAUAAUCCCAAGGAAGAAAAGGACAGAUUAUCUAAGCACAUACAUGAAAAAUGAGUGUUGCAUCGAGCAUCUCUGAGCAUUAUACUUGUGGUCAUUACCAAAUAAUGCCCAGCCUGUGGAGAUAGCUGAUGCUGAGAAGAGCAGACCCCAAGCUGCUGUGCCUGCCCCACACCCACCUCUUCGGUCUCCAGAAGGCAGCACAGCUCCUCUGUGAAUAUUCCCAACAUCCUGGGAAUGCAUCCUGCACACAAAGGUAGCACAUUUGACAACAAAUCUUCUCAGGACGACUGUCUCCUUUCCUGGUGCUGCAGAAGAUUGAAUUUCAUCUGCAGUUGUGGAAGCAGCAUUUGGAUAUUAGAGUUUUGCUGCAGGAAACUGGUAAAAUUAUAUCCACGAGACACAUAGGAGAGAAAAAUAUUUCCCGACACCAACUCAUCAGACUGGGAAGAUGUUCAGGACUCCAAACAUCAAGGUCAGGAAAGCACAUGAUGAAGAUGCUUGUUGAGACCUCCUACCUGAACUGGAUUUGGCCAGGAACCCCCUAAAUAAAGGAGUAAGGAACCAGGAUAAUUUCUACCUGCUCAGGCCUAGCUCACACCUUGUGGAGUCCUGCUGACUGGCCAAGGGAGAGGGGAUGGGCAAAGCAAAAUGUGGUCACUGCAGUUAUGGAUCUUCAGACCUGAAGGAAAAAAUCUUGUUCCAAAGUUAAGUGAGAGAUACAUCCCUGACC